AGUUGCAGCAACAUAUCUCUCUCUCUCUCGCUUGAUUCCGGCGUCCUUCUUCCCGGCGAGUCAUCGCCGGAAGCCAUCUCUCUCUCUCUCGCAUACAUCGGUAACCACCCAAACACUCACCUCUCAAUCUCUCUCGAAUCUCCUCCGGCGAAGAACUGUCGGUCAGUCACCUCCCUCAACGUUUCACUACAGCGCCGUUGUUCCUGCUGCUGAUUCUGCUCUGGGCCGCGACCUGCGGCGCUUGGCCUUUGGCCGCGCCGUCCCGCUCCGCCUGAAGUCGCCGAGUCAGCCGCCUUCGACUGCUGCUGUCGCCGAGGAGUCCGCCGACUGCUGCUGUUCGUUGAGGAGUCCGCCGGCUGCUGCCACAAGUCUGCCGUCGUCGCAGCGAGACCGGCGCAGCACCAUCAUCCUCGCGUCCCUCUGAUGCCGGCGUAGUUCUGCCAGUCGUCUGGAGUUGCCGCCACCGUCGCCAGCUGGACCCUCGGCAGCCGCUGCUGUCGUUCUCGGGCUCCGAGUUCCGAAGCCGGUGAGAGCUCCAUCAUCGCGUCGUCUCGUUCGUCUCUCGGCCCAACUGAACAGGUCGUGGAGCAACAAGGCGAGCUUCUCGCCUGAACCCACCGCCGAGCACCGAGUCGCUGCUGCUCGUCGUCUCUUGAUCAGCCUGAACAGGCCGCGUCCCUUCUUCCUAAAGCUAAGUUAUAUCCUUGACUCGUCUUCUUCCUACCAUGUCUGAGUAUCGAUAAGCUUAAGCUUCUAUGAGUAAGAAAGAAUCAGGGUUUAACACUCUGUCAGUGAGCAUGCUAUCGCUAUCCUUGUUCGUUCAUUCAUGUGCUAUGUGUGAGGUCCUCAUGGUUUGUGUUCUAGAGUGCAGUGGCAGUAUACACAUAAGUCUUUCUAUUGCUAUACAUAACAUGGACUGUUUGAUGUAGUGGUAAAACAUGAUUAUGCUCGUUGGUAUGAAUGCGAACUCGAUUGGAUAACUGAGGUGGAAUAAGGGAAGAAGGUGGAGCAUUGAAGACAAGCUUACCUUGAGAAUACUUGGUAGGAUGAAUUAAAGGCUCACUUCUCCUUGUGCAGUCCUCAAAUGAAGAAUGAAGAGAAUGCAACAAUGUUGGCUGUUUUGAAUGACGAGGUGGUUUGGCUGGGAGCUUGUAUACAUGGGAGGAGGUACAUUCUAGGGUGGCUGAUUGACAUAUUUAGGUGUACUUGGGCAUGGCAGCCUGCUGCAUAGGCGUGGGAAAAGAAAAGGUGCAGCAAGCUCAAGAGGGGAUAGGGGAGUGUGCAGCACAUGUCUCCAUACCUUAUUGUUAUUCCCAUUUUCUUGAACUUAGGGGGGGGGUGGCAGGUGGUGGAGUAGUAAAAAUCUAAUUUGUAUUAUUAUCGAGAUUGCUAAAUUAAAUCCAUAGAUUUAAUUCGUUCGUCA
Molecule: long non-coding RNA, 1423 nt
Organism: Salvia miltiorrhiza (redroot sage)
Lineage: Eukaryota; Viridiplantae; Streptophyta; Magnoliopsida; Lamiales; Lamiaceae
Exons: 2
Source: RefSeq, a predicted model, not a curated record